This 468-nucleotide ribosomal RNA is filed under the name uncultured bacterium. RNAcentral describes it as "partial 16S ribosomal RNA". It matches the Rfam family "Bacterial small subunit ribosomal RNA", at positions 28 to 507 of the family's 1533-position model. The record is from RNAcentral.
GAUGAACGCUGGCGGCGUGCUUAACACAUGCAAGUCGAACGGUGAAGGCGGAGCUUGCUCUGCUGGAUCAGUGGCGAACGGGUGAGUAACACGUGAGCAAUCUGCCCCUGACUCUGGGAUAAGCGCUGGAAACGGCGUCUAAUACUGGAUACGAGCUGCGAAGGCAUCUUCAGCAGCUGGAAAGAACUUCGGUCAGGGAUGAGCUCGCGGCCUAUCAGCUUGUUGGUGAGGUAACGGCUCACCAAGGCGUCGACGGGUAGCCGGCCUGAGAGGGUGACCGGCCACACUGGGACUGAGACACGGCCCAGACUCCUACGGGAGGCAGCAGUGGGGAAUAUUGCACAAUGGGAGAAAGCCUGAUGCAGCAACGCCGCGUGGGGGACGACGGCCUUCGGGUUGUAAACCUCUUUUAGCAGGGAAGAAGCGAAAGUGACGGUACCUGCAGAAAAAGCGCCGGCUAACUACGUG